RNAcentral lists this unclassified non-coding RNA (698 nucleotides) under Hevea brasiliensis (rubber tree). The record is from RNAcentral. Lineage: Eukaryota; Viridiplantae; Streptophyta; Magnoliopsida; Malpighiales; Euphorbiaceae.
GCCUAACAACGUCGAUGCUCUAUAAGAAGUUAACGGUAUCAAUAUCAUCAGACCAUUUUCGCGACAGAAGGUAAUGUCUUCAGAAGUGAUGGAGAAGGUCGUCGUACAGUGUGAUUGAGCAAAAUCAUGAAUGUUAAAAGAGUCAAUGCUCCUGCUUGAUGAGCAGCUCCUAGAGAAACUGGGACAUAGGAAAGAAGAGUAGAUAUGCCCAGUGUGACCUGCAGAGCAGCCAUACCCAUAGUGCUUCCAAUUAAAUGUCUUACUGCAGGAUGCAUAUCCAGCUUUCUGGCUGACAACCAUAAUCCGCCUAUUGCAGCUAAAGUAGCAGUGGCAAGAAUACGAUGAUCGAGCUGAACUGUUGAAGUAUUCUCAAAGAAGUUGCGGAUAAGAGGUUUCAUACUAAAGAUAUCAUCUGGAAUCCAUGUGUCUCCCAUCUUUGGAAAAGUAUUGAAUGCCCGGCCAGCGUCAUUUCCAGCAACAAAAGCUCCAGAGAUCGCAGUAAUUCCAACAAGGAUACCCACAGGAAGUGCAAGCCGCUUAACUUUUGCAGCCCCGCGAACACAGGCAAGUGAUUCCGCAGGAGGUUCAGGCAUAACAACAGAAAGAGCCGUCCAGAAGAGUGGUUUAGAGGAGCCUGCAUCUGAGUAUGUUGAACCAAGAGUAAGCCCCUACCGUCUUGCAGCUCAUCUUACCUCUGC